GACAGAGGUGCCGAGCGUUAGGCGGAAUCACUGGGCUUAAAGCGUGUGUAGGCGGACUUCUAAGUACCUUGUGAAAUCCCACGGCUCAACCGUGGAACUGCUCGGUAUACUGGUCGUCUUGAGCCACUUAGGGGCAGUCGGAACAGAUGGUGGAGCGGUGAAAUGCGUAGAUAUCAUCUGGAACGCCAACGGUGAAAACAGACUGCUGGGAGUGCGCUGACGCUGAGACACGAAAGCUAGGGGAGCGAACGGG
RNAcentral lists this ribosomal RNA (253 nucleotides) under uncultured bacterium. RNAcentral describes it as "partial 16S ribosomal RNA". It matches the Rfam family "Bacterial small subunit ribosomal RNA", at positions 524 to 776 of the family's 1533-position model. The record is from RNAcentral.